AGUAGUGGGAGCGAUCAUUUCAAGAACAUAGUUUCCGCACAUGAUCAUAUAGAAUCUCAACCUUCCACAUCAAAUGAUAGAUUGAUUAUAGUUCAUAGCACUCCUCAAGUACAAACUAGUGCUGAACAACCAAUCAUUGAAAUUCCACAAGUUGUUGAUAGUAUUCUAAUAGAUCAAGCAGUUCAGGAAUUACAACAAGC
This 200-nucleotide long non-coding RNA is filed under the name Musa acuminata (dwarf banana). RNAcentral's name for it is "long non-coding RNA (MACU_LNC006485)". The record is from RNAcentral. Lineage: Eukaryota; Viridiplantae; Streptophyta; Magnoliopsida; Zingiberales; Musaceae.